Molecule: long non-coding RNA, 1992 nt
Organism: Macaca fascicularis (crab-eating macaque)
Lineage: Eukaryota; Metazoa; Chordata; Mammalia; Primates; Cercopithecidae
Source: Ensembl
UUUUUUUUUUUUAAGAACCUCCCUUUCUAGGAACUCACCAUCAAUUGAACAGGGUUGGUAUAUGAGACUGUACCUUAGUACACGCUGCUUAGUACAUGAGGUUAUCUACCCUAAUGUGCCUUGCCAAGCACUUAGGCCCAUCCAGUAUAUAAACAACUAGCCACAGGCCCACACAAUUAAAAUGUCAUUCGUCUGCAUGAUCUGGCUGCAUUUUAGCCACUUUUGCUUCUUGACCUAAGCUCAAAGAAGAUAAUGAUGACUUCAUCUUCAAUAAGCUCAAAGCUUUUGGAAGAGGUAGAAAUACUAUAUCCCAAAGGUAUUGUAGACUCUUUGGUCCAAGGUGCCAUCAAUCAUGUAAGUAUGGGUUUGGUGGAAAAAAUACUGGGAAUCCUCCUACUCUCAACCAACGUGAGGAAGAAACAGUAGAAGACUAGUUCAGGAGAUAGGGCAUUGGGCAGAAAGAAAAAGGCUCCCAAACUCCAAAUGUCACCAGUGAAGCUGAGCUGCACCCACCCACUGAUACUACUGUAGCUCUAUGGAAUAGUGGGGGAAGAAGAAAAAGGAAAGAGACUAGGAGCAGGGAUUUCAACUUGAUCUAGUCCCUAGCCAUCUAAGACUUCUGUCAGAGGCUUCAGUUUGGCCUUUCUCCAGCUCAGACUAACUUUCUUAAGUUAUAGCUUAUAUCAUGUCACUUGUAUAUCAUGGCCUUCCUCUCCUCCAUCCCUUCCCUCCCUGAGAGGCCACUAGUAGUCAGGUGCUAUUUUAAGCUCUGGGGUUACAGUAAUACAUAAGUUCCAGUUCCCAUGGAGUUUACAUCCAAGUAGGGGAAAAAAUCUAAAAAUAAAUAUAUAUUUAUCAUCUAUCUAUGAAUGAAUGAACCAACAAAUGAUUCAAAGUCAGGCAGAGAUAAUUACUCUGAAGACAGGGCAGGGAAGGCCUCUCCAAAAGCAGUAAUACAUGAGCAGAGAUCUGGGUGAAGUAAGCGUACAGAGCCACGCCAAACUCUGGGAGAAGACUAUUUCAGGAAAGGAGGAGGAAAUUUGAAGACCUGGGGCUAGAAUGAGCUCAACAUAUUCCAAGAUUGGCAAGUUUAGUGUGGCUGGAAAAGAAUGAGUAAAACAGAGACAAGUGGAGUGUAAGAUGAGGUCACAGGGAAAUGCAUGGGUCAGAUCAUGGUAUAACUUUGUAGGUCAUGGUAAAGGCAUCUGAACUUUAUACUGAGUGUUAUGGGAAACAAAUGGUGGUUUAUAAGCAGGAGAGUGACAAGAUAUGGUUGAAAAGGUCCCUUUGGUCGCCAAGUGGAAAAGUGACUACAAAACUACUAAGAAUGGGAGCAUUGAGACCACUCAGAAGGCUAUUACAGAAGACCACAUGAUAUAGUAUUAUGGUGGCUUAGACAGGAGUAGAAAUGGUGGUGAUGGCUCAAAUCUCAACCCAAUUAGGCCCACACUCUGAAGUCUAGCACACAGGUCCUUGCAUAAUGGAACACCAAACUACCCAACCAGUCCCAUCUCUAAUUAGUCUCACACACUCUCUUCUCUUCAAUAAUAUAGUACAGUUUUUAUGUUCUCUGAAAUGGCCCACACUUUCUAACUUCUGUACCUGCUCACAUUGUUUUCUCUGCUUGAAAUGUACUCCAACUUCCAUUUCUGACAAAAAUCUAUCAAUCCUCCCAGAUCAUCUACAUGCCAAUGACACAGAACCUUUCUUGAGCUACUCAUCUUCCUGUGAGCUCUUCUACCUUUGAACUCCAAAAGCUCUUUGGUUAUGUCUUUUAAGUGGCUUACAAAAAAAAUACCUUCAAACGAGGGAUCUCAGCAGGUUAUCUGUGAGUCCACUGAAAUUUCAUGGAAAAUUUGAAGACGUGCACGUAAGGGCAUUUUCUCAGAAGACAGUUCAUGGUUUAUCAUCAGAGACCCAGAGAGCAAUAAGAUUUGCCCCAGCCUCUAUCCUCAUAAAAGGUUAAAAAUCUUUAUGUUAGAGAAAAUGUUC